This is a long non-coding RNA of Manihot esculenta (cassava), 2614 nucleotides long. RefSeq lists it as uncharacterized. Lineage: Eukaryota; Viridiplantae; Streptophyta; Magnoliopsida; Malpighiales; Euphorbiaceae. The transcript is spliced from 2 exons. The record is from RefSeq and is a predicted model, not a curated record.
UCGAAGAUCUGUCUGCUCCUCUCGCUCUCAAUUUACAAAAUCCACCCUAAAACCCAAAGCCCCAGUUUCGGUACUGUUGCUUGUACGGUAUUUGAAUCGGACGUCGAAGACUGAUUGUUUCGUCCUAGAGAAACGUGAUGAAGAAGCAAGAAGAUAAUGUUGCCAGCCGCCUUGCCUUCGGAGAUUGCUGAGGACGAAACAGAGGUCUCUCAUUAGGACUUGCAAUUCGUCAAUGAGAAGAGAUUAUGCAUUCAACCAUCUUUUUUUAAAAAAAUUGUUCUGGAGGGAACGUUUUAUGCGAGUAAUGUUGGUACGUCUACCAGUCUCCAAGGCAUCAGAAAAAUCUGAAACUGGUGAGGAACAAGAUGAUGAAACGGAUGAUUCUGAGUUCUGACGCUGGUAAAGGUACAUUGAGAAUGAGCGAUUGACUAAAGCAGCAGCGCGAUAUUGUCCGAUUGGAAUUGCUAUGCAGGCUUGUUUUCUAACAUUAGUAUCCUAUUUACUAUUGUUCUGAAUCAUAUUGCAAAAUUAUGCUUGUAUAAAGAAAAUCAAAAUCCUCUAAAUGUAGAUGUCAUUAUAAUUAGAAGUUUAUUUUGACGAAUGAAUAAUUUUGUUUUACUUGCAAUGUUAUAAUCUGUUUCUAGUUUGUGAUAUAGCCAUAACAAGCAUAAACUGUGUUGUGUAUACUCCUUCCGCUCAAAUACUGUACAGUGCCUAUUGUAAUGUAAUGUUUGAUAAUUUCUUAUUCUACUUGUCACGAUAAUCCAUUAUUAGCUCAUCCUAAAAAUUCUUAGCCCUAAAACUUCCAAGAAUAGAAUUAUUGCUUCAGCAAAAUCUUUACCGUCCUUUCUCAUGCUGUAUCUUAUUGCAACAUCGAUACAACUUUUUAGAACAACUAGGAUUUCUGCAUUUCAAUUUGGUUUGGCUGGUUGUGUAAAAAUUUAAGAAUGGAUGGUCCAGGAGAAAUCAGAUAAUAGGUAUUGUAUACCCAUUAUUCACUCCUCUUCUGAUCAGAAAUUCAUUUAACCAAAAGAGUUAUUUACUUUCUCAUCAAUUUCAUUUGCUUGUUUUAUUUUAGCAUUCCAGUCUGGAAGCAAAUGAUAAUUCCUUCCCCUUGCAUGCUCCUUAUCUGAAUGGACUGGGAAAGUUCUCUCUUAUCUACAAUGGAGGUCACAUGAAUUAUCUGAAAAAGCUUGCUGUCGGUGAUAGAAACUCUAACAGUCCUCGGAAAAAUGUUUGAAGAACUUGACUGUUUCUUAACUCCUUCAAUGCUGCAUUGCUGCCUUCAAAGUGAUAUUCUGCUGCUCUGAAUGUUGAUUUACAGGGCUUCUUCGUGCUGUUUUACAAUCUUAUACUUGCAGAUCAGGGUGAAGCAUUACCAGAGGCUUUGAAGAUUAUGUUAAGUGAAAACAGAAAGCAUGACAUGCAAAAGGCUGCUGCAUGUGCGAGAGGCUUGACCACUUUCUCGUUGUGUUUGGAUCGACUGAAUCCAUGGCUGGCGUGCUAUGCUUCCCCAUUGUUAUCUAUACCAGAAAUUCCCUCCUUCUCUGCUCGUUUACCUGUAAUUCUUUGGAUAUCUUUUGCAGUUUUGGUAACGUUGAAGUAUCUUCUUCAGAAGAAAGUCAAAUGCUGGAAUCUAUUGUGGCUCAGUUUCUAAGUUCAUUGUGGUAACCUUUCUUUAAUUCUUGUUCAAAGAUUUAGAGCAUUUUUAUUCUUUCAGGGGAAGGGGGGAGUAUUUGUGGACUUAAUUUAUCAUAUGCAAUGAUCCUAGCACAUGUUCUGUUCUUAUUGAAAAACAAUUGCCGCAAGACAUCUGACUUUGGCGUUAUGCCUCCUUCCCUGAAGCAUCUCCAAUCAAUCGAAGUUCUCUUUUUGAUUGCAAUAAUCAACUUAAAUCUAUCUUUGUAAUUUUGAUUUGGCAUGGAGAAGUACUGGCCGUAUGCCUCAGACCCUAAUUUAGGUGGUGCAAUUGCUUCUGUCCUCUGUGAACUUAAUCUUCUCUCAAAGGAUUACCACCCAGCGGGUUCAGCAAUUGCUUUAAGCAUUUGAGGCAUGAGCAUGUCUCAUAACCGGGUUUUUCUCUCCUCAAUAUCUCCUCAGCAAGCUUUUACAGACUUGUCAUAUAAAGGCAGUUGAUCUCUAAGGUGACCUGCAUUGGGGGGAUCUCUAUAUAAAAGUCAGCUGAUGAAGAUGAACUGAGAAUGAAAACUUCCAAUGAUUUUGUGCUCCUCCGUGACUUUAAGCAGAAUGGGAGGUUAAGGAGUGAAUUAGACUGUACUACACUAGUCCGGCAAUUAUAUACAUCAAGAAGCAAAAGAAGAAGAAAAGGCAGCAGGAAGGCUUAACAUCAAGAUCCACAGGGAAAUGAAUAUUCAAGGACAUAUAGGCAUUUGAAUUAAAUUUGGGAAGUGUAAAGUAGCUUUCUACAACAUUCUUGUAUUAUGGGUAGGAAGCUGAUCGUCAUGAAGCUCAUGUAUGAUUUGUUUGUAGCUUUUUAGGUGUUUCGUUAGCUUACCUAGGCAUUAAGCCAUUAACCAUACAUUGUCUAGAGUCCUGAAUUAAGGUGACAGUGGGAAGUCAUACUAUGAAUUACAGAUUUUACUGUGUUAUCUCA